This 484-nucleotide ribosomal RNA is filed under the name uncultured bacterium. RNAcentral's name for it is "partial 16S ribosomal RNA". It matches the Rfam family "Bacterial small subunit ribosomal RNA", at positions 30 to 507 of the family's 1533-position model. The record is from RNAcentral.
AUUGAACGCUGGCGGAAUGCUUUACACAUGCAAGUCGAGCGGCAGCACGGGGGCAACCCUGGUGGCGAGCGGCGAACGGGUGAGUAACACAUCGGAACAUGCCCAGUCGUGGGGGAUAACACUUCGAAAGAAGUGCUAAUACCGCAUACGUCCUGAGGGAGAAAGCGGGGGAUCGCAAGACCUCGCGCGAUUGGAGUGGCCGAUGUCAGAUUAGCUAGUUGGUGGGGUAAAGGCCUACCAAGGCAACGAUCUGUAGCUGGUCUGAGAGGAUGAUCAGCCACACUGGGACUGAGACACGGCCCAGACUCCUUCGGGAGGCAGCAGUGGGGAAUUUUGGACAAUGGGGGCAACCCUGAUCCAGCCAUUCCGCGUGAGUGAAGAAGGCCUUCGGGUUGUAAAGCUCUUUCGGCAGGAACGAAACGGUGAGCUCUAACAUAGCUUGCUAAUGACGGUACCUGAAAAAGAAGCACCGGCUAACUACGUG